Molecule: non-coding RNA, 320 nt
Organism: Paramuricea clavata
Lineage: Eukaryota; Metazoa; Cnidaria; Anthozoa; Malacalcyonacea; Plexauridae
Source: the annotation of a GenBank genome assembly
GCCACAUAUCGAAGUCCCGACAUUUUUGUAAUACAAAUACUAUAAACUAUCCCUCUAUUAAACGGCCACCUCUAUUAAGCGGCCGCGGCCACCCAAAGAGCGGUCCCAAAUGUUGUUUUAUGUCAAUUUUUACCUCUAUUAAGCGGCCAGCCUGCAGGAUUUAAUUGGCACAACACCUUGUCAAGAGAGCCGAAAAUAAAAGUCGAGCUAGUUUGCUUUAUUUGUAAAAUAAGGCUUAAAAAUUAUGUUUUAACACAUGCCACUUUACACCUCAAAAGCUUUACACCUCAAAAGCAUUGACUACGCCCAGGGUCUAUUAU